This 1249-nucleotide long non-coding RNA is filed under the name Oryctolagus cuniculus (rabbit). RNAcentral's name for it is "lncRNA (ENSOCUG00000034280.1)". The record is from RNAcentral. Lineage: Eukaryota; Metazoa; Chordata; Mammalia; Lagomorpha; Leporidae.
AUGCUCACAGAGGGAACAGCCCCCACGCAGCCCAAUUGCCGUUUACUUGGUGGGAGUCUUGAGUUCUUUCUUGGUAGAAAGCAGCAGGGGCGUCGGGCACAAGGUAUAUCCAGUUACUGUCUCGCCAGCCAGGGAUCCGGGAUGGGGUGUGUCCUGGGGACGCUGGUCAGCUCAGCGGUCACUGCCCUGUGCCUGCUCUCGCUGAUGUCACUGUUGGCACCUGUGGAGACGUGGCCUCCCACCCGGGCUGUGUCUGCAGGAAUGGCCCGCCCCCCGCCACGCCGAGCCUGGCAGCUGCUUGUUGGCCUAUGGGUUCCACUCUUCCCAGUGGCGUUGUGGUCGCUCCGUGUCCUCACUCUGGCCACAACUGGGACUCAGUCCCUCUGGCUCCCGAGCCUGAGCCCCGUCCCCUCCCCCUCAUCUGUUGUCCCCGCUCGGCGGCGCCCCCUGGCUGCGGCAGCUGCAUGAGCCGGCAGACUCACUGCCUCUGCUGCUGCCUGCUCUGACUGGGGUUUCUGUCGCUGGCAACGUGAUUCAGGCGCCCCUUCCCGCCUUUCCACACUUCACGGAUACCCAGGGUUCGGCUCUUAGGGUUUUAGGGUUCCAAGAAGGCGGGGAGGCGGCUAGCUCCGUAGAAGCGCCUGCACACAGGGAACCUCCGGCCGUUUUCCACUAGGACUGACGAGGCUGUGCAAGUGCGGGAGAGUCGGAGGAGGCUGCGGCUGAGCCGAAUGACCUCAAAGGUUGUGGAGGAGGCCGUGAGGGGCAGCUGUGGGCGGGAGCUGCCCACGUGGGCGGGAGUAGGGGCGAGCCAUGGUCAACCACGGACGGGGAGGGAGAGAGAUGGGCGUCCUCGAAGGUGCGUGGCCUUGGGUUCGCCUGCAUCCUGGAGUUCAGCGCCACUGUGUUAGGUUUUAGGGUUCGAAGAAGACGAGGAGGCCACUGGUUAGGGGGGACAGCAAGGUGGGGGGGAAAGCGAGUGGGAGCUGGGGUCAAGCCAGGCUUCCUUCUGUCUGAACAGCGGGCAGGGCCCCUGUUGGGGGAGAUGCAGAGCGCCACAGGGACCCUGGUAGUGUGCGUGUGCGUGUGCGUGUGUGCUUGAGUGUGUGUGCAUAUGUGUGCGUUCGUGUGUGUGUGUGCAGGAUGGCCCCUUGGUGAACCUGUCAAUGCGUUGUCUUAGUUUGGAAUGUGCCAAGUGUGGACUUUCCGAAGCAAUAAACAUUCCUCCAGCCCUUAGGUUCUCUAUCUG